This 485-nucleotide ribosomal RNA is filed under the name uncultured bacterium. RNAcentral's name for it is "partial 16S ribosomal RNA". It matches the Rfam family "Bacterial small subunit ribosomal RNA", at positions 29 to 523 of the family's 1533-position model. The record is from RNAcentral.
AGUGAACGCUGGCGACGUGCUUAACACAUGCAAGUCGAACGAGAACGGGAUAUAGCUUGCUAUAUUUGUCAGCUAAGUGGCGCACGGGUGAGUAAUGUAUAGAUAACCUGCCCUCUAGAAAGGAAUAACAGUUGGAAACGACUGCUAAUGCCCUAUAUGCCUUUAAUACAUAAGUAUGCAAGGGAAACGCUUUAGUGCUAGAGGAUGGGUCUGUAUGGUAUCAGCUUGUUGGUGAGGUAAUGGCUCACCAAGGCUAUGACGCCUAACUGGUUUGAGAGGAUGAUCAGUCACACUGGAACUUAGACACGGUCCAGACUCCUACGGGAGGCAGCAGUGGGGAAUAUUGCACAAUGGACGAAAGUCUGAUGCAGCAACGCCGCGUGGAGGAUGACACAUUUCGGUGCGUAAACUCCUUUUAUAUAGGAAGAUAAUGACGGUACUAUAUGAAUAAGCACCGGCUAACUCCAUGCCAGCCGCCGCCGUAA